GAUGAACGCUGGCGGCGCGCCUAACACAUGCAAGUCGAACGGCACCCCUCCUCGGAGGGAAGCGAGUGGCGAACGGCUGAGUAACACGUAGAGAACCUGCCCCCUCCCCCGGGAUAGCCGCCCGAAAGGACGGGUAAUACCGGAUACCCCGGGGUGCCGCAUGGCACCCCGGCUAAAGCCCCGACGGGAGGGGAUGGCUCCGCGGCCCAUCAGGUAGACGGCGGGGUGACGGCCCACCGUGCCGACAACGGGUAGCCGGGUUGAGAGACCGACCGGCCAGAUUGGGACUGAGACACGGCCCAGACUCCUACGGGAGGCAGCAGUGGGGAAUCUUGCGCAAUGGGGGGAACCCUGACGCAGCGACGCCGCGUGCGGGACGGAGGCCUUCGGGUCGUAAACCGCUUUCAGCAGGGAAGAGUCAAGACUGUACCUGCAGAAGAAGCCCCGGCUAACUACGUG
This 459-nucleotide ribosomal RNA is filed under the name uncultured bacterium. RNAcentral describes it as "partial 16S ribosomal RNA". It matches the Rfam family "Bacterial small subunit ribosomal RNA", at positions 28 to 507 of the family's 1533-position model. The record is from RNAcentral.